AAAAUUAUAUGUACAUGCGUAGUUAACUAGAUUAAGAAUGGGUUUGAAAAUGUCAAGCAAUGCUCUUCUUCUAUCUUUAUUUCUUUUACUUCUUUGUCUCUUUUCUGAAAUUGGAGGAAUUGAGACCACUCGCCAAAGGAUAGAACCUAUUAGAGAGCUAUCUGUAUCUCCAUCUUGUUCAUGCGGAGGAGGCAAAGGAACUGUUUCAUAUAAAAGUUCAUGCCCACGUCCACGUCCUUGCCCACCUCCACGUGCACGUUAGAACCUAUAAAAGGACGUAAAGAAGAAGCACAAGCAAAUUGCAAAUGGAUAACUUAUUUUAUUUGUUUGUGCUUCUAUUUUACUUUUUGAAGAAAUCUAUGUUAAAUUUUUACGUAAUAAAUCAGAAAUGAUAUAUUUUGCCAAUAUGCAAAAGAACAUAUGGGUUUCUCAAAUCCUCAUUCUCGUAGGUUUUCAUUUGAAAAAUCCAUGUGUUCUCUCUCUUCCUCUUUAUCAAAGUUUUAUUUACUA
Molecule: non-coding RNA, 510 nt
Organism: Camelina sativa (false flax)
Lineage: Eukaryota; Viridiplantae; Streptophyta; Magnoliopsida; Brassicales; Brassicaceae
Source: RefSeq, a predicted model, not a curated record